Molecule: ribosomal RNA, 506 nt
Filed under: uncultured bacterium
Lineage: Bacteria
Description: partial 16S ribosomal RNA
Rfam family: Bacterial small subunit ribosomal RNA
Source: RNAcentral
AUUGAACGCUGGCGGCAGGCCUAACACAUGCAAGUCGAACGGUAACAGGAAACAGCUUGCUGUUUCGCUGACGAGUGGCGGACAGGUGAGUAAUGUCUGGGAAACUGCCUGAUGGAGGGGGAUAACUACUAGAAACGGUAGCUAAUACCGCAUAACGUCGCAAGACCAAAGAGGGGGACCUUCGGGCCUCUUGCCAUCGGAAGGGCCCAGAUGGGAUUAGCUAGUAGGUGGGGUAACGGCUCACCUAGGCGACGAUCCCUAGCUGGUCUGAGAGGAUGACCAGCCACACUGGAACUGAGACACGGUCCAGACUCCUACGGGAGGCAGCAGUGGGGAAUAUUGCACAAUGGGCGCAAGCCUGAUGCAGCCAUGCCGCGUGUAUGAAGAAGGCCAUCGGGUUGUAAAGUACUUUCAGCGGGGAGGAAGGGAGUAAAGUUAAUACCUUUGCUCAUUGACGUUACCCGCAGAAGAAGCACCGGCUAACUCCGUGCCAGCCGCCGCGGUAA